RNAcentral lists this long non-coding RNA (2072 nucleotides) under Homo sapiens (human). RNAcentral describes it as "L3MBTL4 antisense RNA 1 (L3MBTL4-AS1)". The record is from RNAcentral. Lineage: Eukaryota; Metazoa; Chordata; Mammalia; Primates; Hominidae.
GGAUUCUGCUCCAAGGACAGUGGGUUUCCCGCUGGGCACCCACUCUUAAGUGCAGAUCGGGAGACUAAGACAGGAACACCCGCCGUGGGCAGGCCAGGCUGGAAGGAUAGAGGACUGUGGUCGAACCAAGAGGAGGUUCAACUGUGACUUAUGCCAGUGUGGUCACGAAGGCAGAUGGGUUGAACUGAAAAGGGGGCACCGGUUCCUGGCAUGGAGGCACCCAAGGUCUUAGGAGGUGGAUGGACUGUCACAUGGGCAAAGAAAUGUCCCAGGGCAGGACUGCAAAGGCCACAGAAGAAUAAUUUGGGAGAGAGACAACCCAUGAGAAGUCACUCAGACCAGGGUCAGAAACAGAACAGGAACAACAAUGGAAAGAGGAUGACACCAUUGAUGGGCACCUAGGUCAAUUCAAUGUCUUUGCUAUAGUGAAUAGUGCUGCAAUGAACAUGCAACUCCAUGUGCCUUUCUUUCUCUGCAGCCUUGCAAGUAUCUGUUGUUUUUUGACUUUAUAAUAAUAAGCAUUCUGGCUUGUGUGAGAUGGUAUCUCGUUGUGGUUUUAAUUUGCAUUUCUCUGAUGAUUAGUGAUGUUGAGCAUUUUUUUAUGUUUGUUGGCCACUUGUAUGUCUUCUUUUGAGAAGUGUCUGUUCAUGUCUUUUGCCCAUUUUUUAUUUUUUACUUUUUCUUCUUUUUUCUUCUCCUUUCUCCUUCUCCAUCUCCUUCAUUCUUCUUUUGCCCAUUUUUAAUGGGUUAAUUGGUUUUUGCUUAUUGAAUCUAGUUCCUUAUAGAUUCUGGAUAUAUUAGAUCUUUGUCAUCUGCAUAGUUUGUGAAUAUUUUCUCCCAUUCUGUAGGUUGUCUCUUUACUCUGUUGAUGGUUUCUUUUGCUGUGCAGAAGCCCUUUAGUUUAAUUAGGUCUCAGUUGUCAAAUUUUGUUUUUGCUGUAAUUGCUUUUGAGGAUUUAGUCAUAAAUUCUUUCUCAAGACCAAUGCUGAGAAUGGUGUCUCCUAGGUUUUCUUUUAGAACUCUUAUAGUUUGAGGUCUUACAUUUAAAUUAUUAAUUCAUCUUGAUUUAGUUUUUGUAUAUGGUGAAAGGUAGGGGGUCUAGUUUUAAUCUUCUGUAUAUGGCUAGCCAGCUAUCCCAGCACCAUUUAUUGAAUAGGGAGUCCUUUCCCCAUUGCUUUUUUUCUGUCAGCUUUGUCAAAGAUAAGAUGGCUGUACAUGUGCAGCUUUAUUUCUGGGCUCUUUAUUCUGUUCCAUUGUUCUAUGUAUGUGUUUUUGUACCAGUACCAUGCUGUUUGGUUUCUGUAGCCUUGCAGUAUAGUCUGAAGUCAGGUAAUACGAUGCUUUGUUAUUUUUGCUUAGGAUUGCUUUCACUAUUUGGGCUCUUUUUUAGUUCCUUGUGAAUUUUAGAGUAAGUUUUUUUGGUUCUGUGAAAAAUGACAUUGGUAGUUUGAUAGGAAUAAUGUUUAAUCUAUAGAUUGCUUUGGGGAGUAUGGCCACCUUAAUGAUAUUGAUUCUUCCCACCCAUGAGCAUGGAAUGUUUUUCCAGUUGUUUAUAUGUCAUCUUUGAUUUCUUUUAGCCGUGUUUUGUAGUUCUCCUUGAAAAGAUCUUUCACCUUCUUGGUUAAAUGUAUUCCUAGAUAUUUUUCUCUGUGUGUGCCUAUUGUAAUUGGGAUUGUGUUCUUGAUUUUCUCUCAGCUUGAACAUUAUUGGUGUAUAGAAAUGCUACUGACUUUUGUACACUGAUUUUGUAUCCUGAAACUUUACUGAAUUCAUUUAUCAGUCCCAGGAGCCUUUUGGCAGAAUCUUUAGGGUUUUCUAAGCAUAGAAUUAAGUUUUAUUUUCAACAUUUCGGUGUCAAAAGCUGAAGCGUUCCAUCUCAGCUGGCUGACCUGAACAACAUUAUACUAAUAUUUACACAAUGAAAAUGAACAUUAAUAGUCAAAAACACAAUGUCAAUAUAAAAUUGAGUUUAGUCUGAUGCUCCUUCUUGGAAAGCUGACAUGAACCAUCUGCCUUUUUGAUUAUAUUAAAACCUAUUUUUAACUAUAAAAAAAAAAAAAAAAAAAAAAAAA